This 441-nucleotide ribosomal RNA is filed under the name uncultured bacterium. RNAcentral describes it as "partial 16S ribosomal RNA". It matches the Rfam family "Bacterial small subunit ribosomal RNA", at positions 338 to 795 of the family's 1533-position model. The record is from RNAcentral.
CCUACGGGCGGCAGCAGUGGGGAAUAUUGCGCAAUGGGGGGAACCCUGAUGCAGCGACGCCGCGUGGGUGAAGGAGUGCUUCGGCAUGUAAAGCCCUAUCGGCAGGGAAGAAGCAAGACGGUACCUGACUAAGAAGCCCCGGCUAACUACGUGCCAGCAGCCGCGGUAAUACGUAGGGGGCGAGCGUUAUCCGGAUUCACUGGGUGUAAAGGGAGCGUAGACGGCCAUGCAAGCCAGGGGUGAAAGCCCGGGGCCCAACCCCGGGACUGCCCUUGGAACUGUGCGGCUAGAGUGCGGGAGGGGCAGGCGGAAUUCCUGGUGUAGCGGUGAAAUGCGUAGAUAUCAGGAGGAACACCGGCGGCGAAGGCGGCCUGCUGGACCGCGACUGACGUUGAGGCUCGAAAGCGUGGGGAGCGAACAGGAUUAGAUACCCGUGUAGUC